This 435-nucleotide long non-coding RNA is filed under the name Heterocephalus glaber (naked mole-rat). Its description in RNAcentral is "lncRNA (ENSHGLG00000049488.1)". The record is from RNAcentral. Lineage: Eukaryota; Metazoa; Chordata; Mammalia; Rodentia; Bathyergidae.
CGGGGGGCGGCUUCGCGGCCGGGACCUGAGGCGGCCGCGGUGCCCGGGCUCGCGGAACUGAGGGCGCCCAGCCUCGGGCCAGCGGCCGCCUCUCUGCGGGCGCCCCGCGCAGGGAAACCUGGCGGGCAGGCGGGCGGGCAGGGAAGGAAGAGGCGGUCCCGGGCUCCCACCGCGGGGCCCCACCGCCCGGCCUUCGCCCGCACCCCCAGGGCAGAAAGCUCAUUCUCAGGCCUCAAACAAAAGCCAGCUCUGAUCUAAGAGGACUGCGGGAAAUGCCCGCGGAACUUCACCAAACACUGGGUUCCCGGAAGGUAUGGAUCGUCCACUCAACGCUGCGAAAUCUGGGCCCCAUCACAUGACUUACUCCAGGAAGUGGGACACAAGCAAGCAUGAUGCGGGCAGAGGUUUCAUAACCUCUUCUCUGAGGCCUCUCUC